AUGUCCCCAAGGUCUGGGUGUCCCCAAGGUCUUGGUGUCCCCAAGGUCUGGGUGUCCCCAGGUGUGUCUGUCCCUCGCCGUGCGCGUCCCCAGGGCCGUGCGGCCGCGCAGGGGACGGAGCCACCGUCCCUUCCCAAGGUGACAUUCCCCCCGCAGCUCCCGAGCUCGGCGGUGACGUCUGGCGGCCCCCCCGGCCCCCCUCGCUCGCCCGUCACUGUCACCGUCACCUCGCCGGGGCCCCUGUGGCCACGCACGUGCCUUGCACGCUUGUUCACCACCACGCGUGCGCCUCCGCUUGCACGCGCGCGUGCGUGCUCGUGCAUCCUCCUUGCACGGGGGGGGGGGGCUCGGUGGGGACAUGGGGACCCAGUGGCUUUGUCCCCAGGUUUUGUCCCCACGUUUUGGGGACCUGGUGGCCAGGGUGGUGGCAGGGCCCCCCCUGCAGUCCCAGCUCUGGGGACAUUGGGGACGGUUCCUCCCCAUCCAGGCGAUGUCCCCUCCUGGGGACCAUCCUGUCACCCCCCUCCCAGGCUCCCGCAGGACCCCCCCCAUCCCCUGGUGACUGUCCCCAGUGCCACCCCCGCGUGCUGGGGUUGGGGACAGGGGACACGGCGUCCCCCUCCCUCGGUGGCUUUGGUGUCACUGCGUGGUGGCACGGAGGGACAGCAGCACCUGGCGGUGGCCUUUGGGGACAGUCGGGAGCCCCCCCCCCCCGAAGCCACAUGUCCCUGGGUGGCGAUGGGGACAGAAAGGGGACAAGGGGACAGGAAGGGGACGUGGGGACGGGGCUGCCCUGUGCCACCUUGCACAGAGCCGGCAGCGCUUGCACGAGUGCGUGUGACCUUGUGCAGCCUUGCACAAGGAUUGGGGACCUUGCACGAGGACAAGGGACCUGAGGGACCUUGCACGAGGAUUUGGGACCUUGCACAGGGAUUUGGGAUCUUGCACAAGGAUGGGGGACCUUGCACGAGGGUUGGGGACAUUGCACGAGGACGAGGGACCUAA
RNAcentral lists this long non-coding RNA (1005 nucleotides) under Anas platyrhynchos platyrhynchos (common mallard). RNAcentral's name for it is "lncRNA (ENSAPLG00000020375.1)". Lineage: Eukaryota; Metazoa; Chordata; Aves; Anseriformes; Anatidae. The record is from RNAcentral.